This 497-nucleotide ribosomal RNA is filed under the name uncultured bacterium. Its description in RNAcentral is "partial 16S ribosomal RNA". It matches the Rfam family "Bacterial small subunit ribosomal RNA", at positions 28 to 507 of the family's 1533-position model. The record is from RNAcentral.
GACGAACGCUGGCGGCGUGCUUAAUACAUGCAAGUCGAGCGAACGGACGAAAAGUUUGCUCUUCUGAAGUUAUUGGUUGCGGGGUGAUUAACACGUGGAGAAUCACGCUUUAACACCGUGAUAACUACGAGAAACCGGCGCUAAUACCGCAGAAUAUUUACAACCGCACGGUUCAACAGUGCAAGACGGUCUUGCCGACACUACUAGAUGGAUCCGCGCUGCAUCAGCUCGUUGGCAAGGUAACGGCUUAACAAGGCAGCGAUGGAAAGCCGACCUGAGAGUGUGGUCGGCCACACGGGAAGUGAGGCACGGUCCAGACUCCUGAGGGGGGCAGCGGUAGAGAAUCUUACGCGAUGGGGGAGAGGCUGACGGAGCAACGCCGCGGGAGUAAUGAAGGACUUCGGAUCGUAGAGCUCUGUUAUUAGGGGAGACCAUAUGUGUAGGUAAAUGUGCACAACUUGACGGUACCUUAUGAGAAAGCCACGGCUAACUACGUG